UUCAUGGAGAGUUUGAUCCUGGCUCAGGACGAACGCUGGCGGCGUGCCUAAUACAUGCAAGUCGAGCGGAC
Molecule: ribosomal RNA, 71 nt
Filed under: Bacillus licheniformis
Lineage: Bacteria; Bacillati; Bacillota; Bacilli; Caryophanales; Bacillaceae
Also listed under: 4 other names
Description: partial 16S ribosomal RNA
Rfam family: Bacterial small subunit ribosomal RNA
Source: RNAcentral